CGUAACAAGGUCUCCGUAGGUGUACCUGCGGAGGGAUCAUUACACAAAUAUGAAGGCGGGCUGGAACCUCUCGGGGUUACAGCCUUGCUGAAUUAUUCACCCUUGUCUUUUGCGUACUUCUUGUUUCCUUGGUGGGUUCGCCCACCACUAGGACAAACAUAAACCUUUUGUAAUUGCAAUCAGCGUCAGUAACAAAUUAAUAAUUACAACUUUCAACAACGGAUCUCUUGGUUCUGGCAUCGAUGAAGAACGCAGCGAAAUGCGAUAAGUAGUGUGAAUUGCAGAAUUCAGUGAAUCAUCGAAUCUUUGAACGCACAUUGCGCCCUUUGGUAUUCCAAAGGGCAUGCCUGUUCGAGCGUCAUUUGUACCCUCAAGCUUUGCUUGGUGUUGGGCGUCUUGUCUCUAGCUUUGCUGGGGACUCGCCUUAAAGUAAUUGGCAGCCGGCCUACUGGUUUCGGAGCGCAGCACAAGUCGCACUCUCUAUCAGCAAAGGUCUAGCAUCCAUUAAGCCUUUUUUUCAACUUUUGACCUCGGAUCAGGUAGGGAUACCCGCUGAACUUAAGCAUAUCA
Molecule: ribosomal RNA, 570 nt
Filed under: uncultured fungus
Lineage: Eukaryota; Fungi
Description: eukaryotic LSU rRNA
Rfam family: 5.8S ribosomal RNA (bases 208-361)
Source: RNAcentral